Maylandia zebra (zebra mbuna) is the source of this 1115-nucleotide non-coding RNA. Lineage: Eukaryota; Metazoa; Chordata; Actinopteri; Cichliformes; Cichlidae. The record is from RefSeq and is a predicted model, not a curated record.
CGUAAAGCUUCAGUUUACGGCAGUGGAAUCAGUCCGGUUAUAGCGUACAACAAAACAAAGUUUUACAUCGAACUGGUUCCCAGUUUUCCAGGUGUCGAUCAUCAAACACGUGUCUGCUGGAGCUAUGAAGACGAAGAAGCAACCGAACAUCCUGCUGACAGGGACUCCCGGAGUUGGAAAAACCACUCUAGGAAAGGAACUGGCCCAGCGCACGGGGCUGACCUAUGUCAACAUAGGAGACCUGGCCCAGGAAGGACAACUGUUUGAUGGAUAUGAUGACGAGUACCAGUGCCCCAUUCUGGAUGAGGACAGGGUGGUGGAUGAGCUGGAUGAAAAGAUGAGUGAAGGAGGCGUGAUCGUGGACUAUCACGGCUGUGACCUGUUCCCCGAGCGCUGGUUCGACAUCGUUUUUGUCCUGCGCACAGACAACACCCAGCUGUACACUCGACUGGAGGCCAGGGGCUACACGGGAAAAAAGCUGCAGGACAAUGUGCAAUGUGAGAUCUUCCAGACCAUCUAUGAGGAAGCCAUGGAGGCCUACAGUAAGGAGAUUGUCCACCAACUUCCCAGCAACACUCCUGAGGACAUGGAGCACAACCUGGAGCAGAUAGUGCAUUGGACUGAACAGUGGAUGAAGGACCAUAACUAGGAGGUGACCUCACUGGGUCAACAAGAGUCAACAAUUAAAACCUGAAUUGUAUCAUUUCUGAAUCUGCGUUUACUGUCAUAUUGAGCAAAAGUUUUGAAUUUGUUUGUAUUUUGUUUCCAAUGACCCGACUUUCUUGUAAUUGGCCUGGAGUUCGACACAUGUGGUCUUGAGCAAUAGUUGGACAGACUUUCAAAGUGUCUCUUUGGACAGUGCCUGCUUUUGCACUCAGUUUUUAUCCAGUCUUUGUACAGUUUUCAGAAAGCAUGUUGUUUAGCUACAUGACCUAUGAAUCAAUUGUCACCUAACUGAACGAAUGAAUCAGUGUUGUCUAGAUUUAGAUGGAAUUCUAUGACAGACAAGGCAAAUAAACCAUUGUAAUUGGAUCUUUAGGCAUUUUGUUACUAGCCACACAGUUUGUUCUCAUGUUGUUAGUUCAAUCUGUGAUUAAAGGCCAAAGAAAGCAGCA